AGUUUGAUCCUGGCUCAGGAUGAACGCUGGCGGCGUGCCUAAUACAUGCAAGUCGAACGAAACUUCUUUAUCACCGAGUGCUUGCACUCACCGAUAAAGAGUUGAGUGGCGAACGGGUGAGUAACACGUGGGCAACCUGCCCAAAAGAGGGGGAUAACACUUGGAAACAGGUGCUAAUACCGCAUAACCAUAGUUACCGCAUGGUAACUAUGUAAAAGGUGGCUAUGCUACCGCUUUUGGAUGGGCCCGCGGCGCAUUAGCUAGUUGGUGAGGUAAAGGCUUACCAAGGCAAUGAUGCGUAGCCGAACUGAGAGGUUGAUCGGCCACAUUGGGACUGAGACACGGCCCAAACUCCUACGGGAGGCAGCAGUAGGGAAUCUUCCACAAUGGGCGAAAGCCUGAUGGAGCAACGCCGCGUGGGUGAAGAAGGUCUUCGGAUCGUAAAACCCUGUUGUUAGAGAAGAAAGUGCGUGAGAGUAACUGUUCACGUUUCGACGGUAUCUAACCAGAAAGCCACGGCUAACUACGUGCCAGCAGCCGCGGUAAUACGUAGGUGGCAAGCGUUAUCCGGAUUUAUUGGGCGUAAAGGGAACGCAGGCGGUCUUUUAAGUCUGAUGUGAAAGCCUUCGGCUUAACCGGAGUAGUGCAUUGGAAACUGGGAGACUUGAGUGCAGAAGAGGAGAGUGGAACUCCAUGUGUAGCGGUGAAAUGCGUAGAUAUAUGAAGAACACCAGUGGCGAAAGCGGCUCUCUGGUCUGUAACUGACGCUGAGGUUCGAAAGCGUGGGUAAAAAACAGGAUUAGAUACCCUGGUAGUCCACGCCGUAAACGAUGAAUGCUAAGUGUUGGAGGUUUUUCGCCCUUCAGUGCUGCAGCUAACGCAAUAAGCAUUCCGCCUGGGGAGUACGACCGCAAGGUUGAAACUCAAAGGAAUUGACGGGGGCCCGCACAAGCGGUGGAGCAUGUGGUUUAAUUCGAAGCAACGCGAAGAACCUUACCAGGUCUUGACAUCUUCUGACAAUCCUAGAGAUAGGACUUUCCCUUCGGGGACAGAAUGACAGGUGGUGCAUGGUUGUCGUCAGCUCGUGUCGUGAGAUGUUGGGUUAAGUCCCGCAACGAGCGCAACCCUUAUUGUAUGUUGCUACCAUUAAGUUGAGCACUCAUGCGAUACUGCCUGCGAUGAGCAGGAGGAAGGUGGGGAUGACGUCAAGUCAUCAUGCCCCUUAUACGCUGGGCUACACACGUGCUACAAUGGGCAGUACAGAGAGUUGCCAACCCGCGAGGGUGAGCUAAUCUCUUAAAGCUGUUCUUAGUUCGGAUUGUACUCUGCAACUCGAGUACAUGAAGUUGGAAUCGCUAGUAAUCGCAAAUCAGCAUGUUGCGGUGAAUACGUUCUCGGGUCUUGUACACACCGCCCGUCACACCACGAGAGUUGGUUGCACCUGAAGUAGCAGGCCUAACCGUAAGGAGGGAUGUUCCUAAGGUGUGAUUAGCGAUUGGGGUGAAGUCGUAACAAGGUAACC
Molecule: ribosomal RNA, 1522 nt
Filed under: uncultured bacterium
Lineage: Bacteria
Description: bacterial SSU rRNA
Rfam family: Bacterial small subunit ribosomal RNA
Source: RNAcentral